CGCGUAGGCGGCUGUCACAGUCAGGCGUGAAAUUCCCGGGCUCAACCUGGGGGCUGCGUUUGAUACGUGAUGGCUUGAGUUCGGAAGAGGGUCGUGGAAUUCCCAGUGUAGAGGUGAAAUUCGUAGAUAUUGGGAAGAACACCGGUGGCGAAGGCGGCGACCUGGUCCGAUACUGACGCUGAGGCGCGAAAGCGUGGGGAGCAAACAGGAUUAGAUACCCUGGUAGUCCACGCCGUAAACGAUGUGCGCUGGAUGUUGGGCGACCUAGUCGCUCAGUGUCGUAGCUAACGCGAUAAGCGCACCGCCUGGGGAGUACGGCCGCAAGGUUGAA
Molecule: ribosomal RNA, 331 nt
Filed under: uncultured bacterium
Lineage: Bacteria
Description: bacterial SSU rRNA
Rfam family: Bacterial small subunit ribosomal RNA
Source: RNAcentral